This 742-nucleotide ribosomal RNA is filed under the name uncultured Staphylococcus sp. RNAcentral's name for it is "bacterial SSU rRNA". It matches the Rfam family "Bacterial small subunit ribosomal RNA", at positions 48 to 772 of the family's 1533-position model. Lineage: Bacteria; Bacillati; Bacillota; Bacilli; Caryophanales; Staphylococcaceae. The record is from RNAcentral.
CUAAUACAUGCAAGUCGAGCGAACAGACGAGGAGCUUGCUCCUCUGACGUUAGCGGCGGACGGGUGAGUAACACGUGGAUAACCUACCUAUAAGACUGGGAUAACUUCGGGAAACCGGAGCUAAUACCGGAUAAUAUAUUGAACCGCAUGGUUCAAUAGUGAAAGACGGUUUUGCUGUCACUUAUAGAUGGAUCCGCGCCGCAUUAGCUAGUUGGUAAGGUAACGGCUUACCAAGGCGACGAUGCGUAGCCGACCUGAGAGGGUGAUCGGCCACACUGGAACUGAGACACGGUCCAGACUCCUACGGGAGGCAGCAGUAGGGAAUCUUCCGCAAUGGGCGAAAGCCUGACGGAGCAACGCCGCGUGAGUGAUGAAGGUCUUCGGAUCGUAAAACUCUGUUAUUAGGGAAGAACACAUGUGUAAGUAACUAUGCACGUCUUGACGGUACCUAAUCAGAAAGCCACGGCUAACUACGUGCCAGCAGCCGCGGUAAUACGUAGGUGGCAAGCGUUAUCCGGAAUUAUUGGGCGUAAAGCGCGCGUAGGCGGUUUUUUAAGUCUGAUGUGAAAGCCCACGGCUCAACCGUGGAGGGUCAUUGGAAACUGGAAAACUUGAGUGCAGAAGAGGAAAGUGGAAUUCCAUGUGUAGCGGUGAAAUGCGCAGAGAUAUGGAGGAACACCAGAGGCGAAGGCGACUUUCUGGUCUGUAACUGACGCUGAUGUGCGAAAGCGUGGGGAUCAAA